AGUGAACGCUGGCGGUAGGCCUAACACAUGCAAGUCGAACGGCAGCACAGUAAGAGCUUGCUCUUACGGGUGGCGAGUGGCGGACGGGUGAGGAAUACAUCGGAAUCUACUUUUUCGUGGGGGAUAACGUAGGGAAACUUACGCUAAUACCGCAUACGACCUACGGGUGAAAGCAGGGGAUCUUCGGACCUUGCGCGAUUGAAUGAGCCGAUGUCGGAUUAGCUAGUUGGCGGGGUAAAGGCCCACCAAGGCAACGAUCCGUAGCUGGUCUGAGAGGAUGAUCAGCCACUCUGGAACCGAGACACGGUCCAGACUCCUACGGGAGGCAGCAGUGGGGAAUAUUGGACAAUGGGCGCAAGCCUGAUCCAGCCAUACCGCGUGGGUGAAGAAGGCCUUCGGGUUGUAAAGCCCUUUUGUUGGGAAAGAAAAGCAGCAGGUUAAUACCCCGCUGUUCUGACGGUACCCAAAGAAUAAGCACCGGCUAACUUCGU
RNAcentral lists this ribosomal RNA (491 nucleotides) under uncultured bacterium. RNAcentral's name for it is "partial 16S ribosomal RNA". It matches the Rfam family "Bacterial small subunit ribosomal RNA", at positions 29 to 506 of the family's 1533-position model. The record is from RNAcentral.